CAGCAGCCGCGGUAAUACGUAGGUCCCGACCGUUGUCCGGAAUUAUUGGGCGUAAAGGGAACGCAGGCGGACAUAUAAGUCCAUCUUAAAAGUGCGGGGCUCAACCCCGUGAGGGGAUGGAAACUGUAUGCCUUGAGUGCAGGAGAGGAAAGCGGAAUUCCCAGUGUAGCGGUGAAAUGCGUAGAUAUUGGGAGGAACACCAGUGGCGAAGGCGGCUUUCUGGACUGUAACUGACGCUGAGGCUCGAAAGCCAGGGGAGCGAACGGGAUUAGAUACCCGCGUAGUCCCUGUCUCUUAUACA
Molecule: ribosomal RNA, 301 nt
Filed under: uncultured bacterium
Lineage: Bacteria
Description: partial 16S ribosomal RNA
Rfam family: Bacterial small subunit ribosomal RNA
Source: RNAcentral